AGCGAACGCUGGCGGCAGGCUUAACACAUGCAAGUCGAACGCCCCCUUCGGGGGGAGUGGCAGACGGGUGCGUAACGCGUGGGAAUAUACCUUUUCGUUCGGAAUAACUCAGGGAAACUUGUGCUAAUACCGGAUACGCCCGAGAGGGGAAAGAUUUAUCGCUAAAAGAUUAGCCCGCGUCUGAUUAGCUAGUUGGUGAGGUAAUGGCUCACCAAGGCGACGAUCAGUAGCUGGUCUAAGAGGAUGAUCAGCCACACUGGGACCGAGACACGGCCCAGACUCCUACGGGAGGCAGCAGUGGGGAAUAUUGGACAAUGGGCGCAAGCCUGAUCCAGCCAUGCCGCGUGAGUGAAGAAGGCCUUAGGGUUGUAAAGCUCUUUUGUGUGGGAAGAUAAUGACUGUACCACAAGAAUAAGCCCCGGCUAACUUCGUGCCAGCAGCCGCAGUAA
This 449-nucleotide ribosomal RNA is filed under the name uncultured bacterium. RNAcentral describes it as "partial 16S ribosomal RNA". It matches the Rfam family "Bacterial small subunit ribosomal RNA", at positions 29 to 523 of the family's 1533-position model. The record is from RNAcentral.